GUCGAACGGACACUUCGGUGUCAGUGGCGGACGGGUGAGUAACACGUAAGUAACCUGCCCAGAAGUGGGGAAUAACUAGCCGAAAGGCUGGCUAAUACCGCAUGUGAUGGCUCGCCCUUGGGGGAACCAUUAAAGGCUUCGGUCGCUUCUGGAGGGGCUUGCGGUCGAUUAGCUAGUUGGUGGGGUAAUGGCCUACCAAGGCGACGAUCGAUAGCUGGUCUGAGAGGACGGUCAGCCACACGGGGACUGAGAUACGGCCCCGACUCCUACGGGAGGCAGCAGCUAGGAAUCUUGGGAAUGGGCGAAAGCCUGACCCAGCAACGCCGCGUGGGCGAUGAAGGCCUUCGGGUUGUAAAGCCCUUUUGCAGGGGAAGAUGAUGACGGUACCCUGCGAAUAAGCCACGGCUAACUACGUGCCAGCAGCCGCGGUAAUACGUAGGUGGCAAGCGUUGUCCGGAUUUACUGGGCGUAAAGGGCGUGCAGGCGGUCUGUUAAGUCUAGGGUGAAAGCUCCCGGCUCAACUGGGAGAGGUCCUUGGAUACUGGCGGACUUGAGGGAGGUAGAGGAAAAGUGGAAUUCCCCGGUGUAGUGGUGAUAUGCGUAGAUAUCGGGAAGGAACACCAGUGGCGAAGGCGGCUUUUCUGGGCCUUACCUGACGCUGAAACGCGAAAGCGUGGGGAGCGAACGGAUUAAAUACCCGGGUAGUCCACGCCGUAAACUAUGGACACUAGGUGUGGGGGGUUAUCAACCCCCUCCGUGCCGAAGCUAACGCAAUAAGUGUCCCGCCUGGGGAGUACGGCCGCAAGGC
This 808-nucleotide ribosomal RNA is filed under the name uncultured Bacillota bacterium. RNAcentral's name for it is "bacterial SSU rRNA". It matches the Rfam family "Bacterial small subunit ribosomal RNA", at positions 61 to 894 of the family's 1533-position model. Lineage: Bacteria; Bacillati; Bacillota. The record is from RNAcentral.